AGAAAUCUUCCAUUCACCUUCUGAUCCUCACCGAUCUUGCGGUGUACAUGUAUAGCCUCAGAAACUCAGCCACGACCAUAAACACAGGAUUGAAAAAGCAUGCAGGAAAUACAAAAAGUUGAGCGAUUAAAUAAAAUUAUUUACAGACGACACAGAUUAGGAUUGACGGGGAAGUGUGGAACCAGAAUUGACACCACCGGAGAUUCAGAAUUCAGUGGCUGCCUCAGGCUGCUCGCCGUGUCACCUCCUGCUGCUGUUGCUGCUGCUGAUCCUUCGACACAGACACGAGAACGAUGAUGAAGGCAGCAACAGAUGAAAGACAAAAACCCCAUGAUAUCCUCCUGAUGGACCUGACCUCUCUCUCUCUCUCUCUACAAAUUUUUAACAUUCAAUUUGAGUGUUGCAAAUAGCAAUAGGAUCAUCAUUUUAACAAGGUGACUUUUGACUUUGUUGGCCUUUUCCAUUUUCACUAAUCAAUGCUAGACUGUGAGUCGCAAGUAAAUAUUACCCUCCCUUUCUGGUUCCAUUUACAAAUGCACCACUUUAAUCCUAUCCUUAGAAAAUGAAAAGCUAAUAAAAACACUCAAAAUUGGGCCAUCUUAAUAUUAUGGACAACAAAAUUUAGUUAAUCGACGGCCUGGAUUAAUUUGAAGGAUUUUUUUUUUUAAAAAUACAAAUUUUUUAAACCACACACUUAACAAACUUAUAAAGUUCAACCAUCUUUUUCGUUCGUCUUUUAUUUAAUUAUGCUUGUAUGUGAUGCUAUGCUUUGAUUUGUAUUUAAAGUUAAAUUAUCGGAAUUAAAUACGGAGUUUUACUUUUAAAAUACAAACAUACUAACUACGCAAUUACAAGGCAUAAAACAUAAAAAUAUAUAUUUGUUAAUAGCCUUUGCCCUUGCGGUUACCCUUCAUUUUGCUUAAACGGAUGGACUUGCACAAAGACAAUUGCAGUUUAGAGUGAAUAGUAAAGAUAAUUUCACCGACCUUACUUUUGCCUUGCUCUUGCUUAAAACGGGUGGAGAUGCCUUGAUGACAAAGCAAAAGAGAUAUCGAGGAGUAAAAGGAAACAACAACAUUCCACAAUAAAAAAAACAGUGCCAAAUGUCAUCCACUUUCAGAAAUAGUGCAAAUAAUUGUAACUUUUCGUUUUGUUGAAGUAAAAUUCACAUUUACAUCUUCACGAAAUAUAAAAUGUGACCAGCAUAUGAUUUUUACAUUUUAAAUUUGCAGCUCGCAUGCGAAAUGCUCUAAGGAGGAACUUCGUCAUAAACACAGUAAUUUUGUGGAGUCGAGCAAAAUUUUUUUAUCUAGUGUUAAACUCAAAGAACACGUUGUAUAAAGUUUAUCCAAAGGAGUGCGAAAAGACGACGAGCAAAAGGUUGGGAAUAUAUCUAACAUCCAAUACUAGUUGCAAUGUUUUGUAAUUCGGUACUUAGCAAGUUUGUUCUUUAAAAAUAAAAUUUUGUAUUUAGCUCCGAUAAUUUAACUUUAAAUAUAAACCAAAGCAUAGCAUCACAAACAAGCAGUUAUAAAAAAAAAAACAAUUACCACGUGGCAGAAACCCAUUGCCACACCCAAAUUUCUUGGGCCAUUAUUGGCCGUUGAUUGAGUAGACAAGUGAUGGGAGGACAGAAGAAACUCAAAGUUCGAGGGUUCCAGAAACUCCGACGAUGGCAGGGAUUGGCUCUUGCUGUACAACUCUAUCCUCCACAACUUUGGCUGUAUUUCUGGAGAUGUAAUCUUCCUCUUAGCUGAUGUCCAGUUUUAUGUUUCUGGACCUUUGGAUGGACGUCUUGAAUAAAUUUUCCAUUUCGUACUGUUGGAUUGUUGUUAGUAAUUAAGUUGCAAAAACAUAUUGUUUUAUACGAGAGUUUUUCAAAAUUUAUGACACGUUUUGAUUCCGGUUCUUGUGAGUUAGUAAAAAUCGCAACUAGAAUAAAACAUGUUCUCUUUCUGAUUCGAAGCAUUUAGCAAAUAUCUCGACGCAAUUCCUUGGGUUGAUUCUCUUAUAUUUGUCAAGGAAAUAAACUCAUGAUUUUUAUUAAAUCCCUUUUAAUUUGCUAAACAGGUGUGUCUAUUUCUAUGUGCAAAAUAAACAGAUUAUAGAAUGUGAGAUAUGGAUUCGUAUCCAUUGUCUAUAGAAAAAAAGUGCGAAUGCAACAUUGUUUAUAUUCUCGAAUGCUAUUUAGACAUACAAAAUUGACGACAUUGAUAUGACAUUCUAACACAGGCUAAACAACAUUAGUCGUUUCAUUUCCAUUCUUAAACUUCUGCUCUAUGAACCAAAUGAUUUUUGUCUUUAUUUUUAGUAGAAAUGGUAUUUUACAGUAAUCUACAAUAAAAGGAGGGGAAAGGUUUGAAUCUAGAACAAUGUGAGUUGAAAAUGAAGAUCCUAACUAUCAGGAACCAGUUUUCGUUUCUCAUUUUUGCCUUCUUCCUGGGAAUGACAGUGAAAUUAAACAUAUAUACCCAAUAUUUAAAGGGAAAGAAAGAAUCUUCCAUUCAUCUUCUGAUCCUCACCCAUCUUACGGUGUACACCUAUAGCCUCAGAAACUCAGCCACCACCUUACACACAGGAUCCAAAAAGGAAAAACAAAAAGUUGACCUAUUAAAUAAAAUAAUUUACAAACGAGAGAUAUUAGGGUUGACGGGGAAAUGCGGAACCACAAUUGGCACUACCGGAGAUUCAGUGUUCAGAGGCUGGCUGCUGCUCACUGUGCUACCUCCUCCUCCUCCUCCUGCAGCUGCUGCUGGCCCUUCGCCGCAGACACGAGAACCAUGAUGAAGGCAGCAACAGAUGAAUGACAAAAAUCCCAUGAUAUCCCCCUGAUGGACCUGAUCUCUCUUGAUUCUCUCUCUGUAGAAAUUUUAUACAUGUAAUCUGAGUGUGCAAAUAGCAAUAAGAUCAUCAUUUUAACGUAAUAUAUAGAUAAUAUGUUGCGUUAAUAACAAGGUAACUAUUUUUAAUUACCACAGGGUGCACCAAUGGCUGGGGUAAAUUUUAGGUUUGUAUUUCACACGACACAUCUUGAAUUUGAAUAUUAGUAUUGGUGAAUCGUACGAUGAUGGCCAAAAGGAUGUUAAAAUGUAUCUAUUAAUCUUUUCGGCUUCUGAAAAAGUAGACUGUCAUAAAAAAAUCACCGACAAAUUUAAAAAAAAUAAAAAUAAAUAACAAGGUAACUUUUGUCUUGUUGAUCUUUUCCAUUUUCACAAGUAAAAUGCUAGACUGAGCAGGUCACAAGUCAAUGAAAAGCUAAUGAAAACACCGAAAGCAGGCCCUCUCAAUAUUAACGACAACAAAAGUUUUUUGGAUAAGCAUCGUCUGCCCUCCUAGUUGUGCCCUUUCAUACCCUCCUAUUUUGUGCGAUCACGUCAAGCCACGUUAAUAUUUUAUAUUAAUUUUUAAUAAAAUAAUAAGACAAAAAAUAAUAAAAAUAUAAAAUAUUAACGUGGCUUAACCGUGACCGUACAAAAUAGAAGGGCAUGAAAGAGCAUCACAACUAGGAGGGCAGACAAUCCUUAUCCUUAUUUUUUAACGUGGAUGUCACUUAAUAAUGUUUCUGAACGUCGAUGUCACUACUGGUUCUUUUUCCUCCUCGUGCUGCUGACUGUUCUGCUUAGUCUUCAUACUCCAUUACUUUUUGAAGAAAAAAAACGCUCUUACCACUUGCUUUGGUGUACGAAAGAAAUUUCAACUUUAUGCUCAAAGAAGAAUUUGGCAUAAAAACUUUGGACAAUGAUUGUCUGCCCUUCUAGUUGUGGUGUCCUUCCAUGCCCUCUUAUUUUGUGCGAUCACGGUUAAGCCACGUCAAUAUUUUAUAUUUUUAUUGUUUUUUGUCUUAUUAUCUCAUUAAAAAAUUAAUAUAAAAUAUUGACGUGGCUUAACCGUGACCGCACAAAAUAGAAGGGCAUGGAAGGGCGCCACAACUAGAGGGCAGACAAUCCUUAUCCAAAAAAUAAUGCAAUUAACUGUAAUUUUUUGUUAGAGUACAAUCAUAUUUACGUAGAUUUUUAUAUUUAAAAUAUGCAGCUCCCUUUCGAAAUGAUCUAAGUAGGAAUUCCGUCAUAAACACAGUUACAUGAAACGGCUACAAGAUAUUUUGGAAAUUACGUAACAAUUUUAUGGAGUUAAGCAAAUUUUUGUUGGAUAAUGUUAGGAUGGUCAAAAUUUUAAAUCAAAUUUGUAAAAUAAAUAAUGUAUUACCAAUAAAAAGUAAGUACAUUAAUUAACAAUUAAAUGAUAAUUCAAUUAUCAACAAACACAUCAUUUAAUUUACAAAAUUCAAUUUAAAAUUUUGAUUUUCCUAAAAUUACUUUUUUUUUUUAUAAAUCUGGUGUUAAACUCAAAGAACAGGUUGUAUAAAAUUUAUCCAAGAAAAAGACGAAAAGCAAAAGGUUGGAUAUAUAUCUAAUAUCCAAUACCAGUUGCCACGUGGCAGAAACCCAUUGCCACACACAAAUUUCUUGGGCCAUUAUUGGCUGUUGAUUGAGUGCACAAGUAACUGGGGAGAGAAGAAACUCAAAAGAUUGAGGAUUCCAGAAACUCCUUCGAUGGCAGGGAUUGGCUCUUGCUCUACGACUCUCUCCUCCACAAGGUAACUUAUUCCCUGUCUUUCUUUGUUUUCGUGUUGGAAAGACUGCAUUUUUACUAGGAAAAGUUCCUACUCUGAAUACUCUCUCGGAUUCUCGAUGGCGGGUUUUCUUGUUUGGUUGCUGAGAAAAUGUAGAAAAGUAAGAUUAUUGAACAACUAACAGAAUCUUUUGCUCUUUUGAAGCAUUAUGAGAUACAGAAAUACGUUCAACUACUCAUCUAGCCAGAUGUGUCUUUAGCUUGUUUUUAUACCACAUUUGAUGUGAACAAUCACAUUUGAAUUAAUCAGAUUUUUAAAUUUAGUUCAUUAUUUAAUAAACUAAUAAUUAAGAAAAACUAGUUAAUUAAAUGAUGAUUGUGGUAUACGAUGAGUCUUUUUCCUUCAUUUCCUUAGAUUUUGCAAAAUUUUUAAAUAAUGUGGCUGUCCACAUCAGAUGCACAAGGUAGUAUAGAAAUGUGGUAUUAAAACAUGGUAUAAAUAACAUUACUCUUUCCUAUAACCAAAAACGUUUAUGAUGGCGCUUAGUAGGAAAAGCUAAAAGUGAUUAUGACUUCUGGAGAAUCACCAAGUUCCAAGUGCUUUUCAGAAAAGCGCAUGUUGGAGAAUAGAAUCCCACAUCGGAAACUUCACAUAGGAAAAUUACACCUUACAUUGUAUGGUUCCAUUUCUAGCUAGUUGCACAGAGGCCAACAGCUGCCCAACCGUGUGGUGGUUCAGUUGGAACACUAUCGGGAGGUGAUUAGUAAUUUAGUAGUGGGCCGCUAGCUCGACUCUGAAAUCUUGACAACACCUGUUUCCAAAUGCUUUUUGAGCAGCACCUUGAAAUUGUACCAGAAGCCUAGCACUUGUUUAGGUUCAAAUCGCAUAUGCUUUACAAAAUUUACUCCUUAUUUUGUUACAUUUUGUUUCUUUUGGAUCACUUUGAACGCAGUUGGUAUCAUGGUAAUAUAUGUUAGUGAAUCUAGUGAAAUUGUUACACACACAAAGAAAAAUGAAGUAAGGGGUAAGAAAAUUUUUUUGACAGCAAUUUCUGCACAUCUUGGUUGAAACUUGGCACCCGUACUCAUGGUGGAGGAACCAUCUUAGGGCAACCAACCCGCCAUCGACAAAAAUUCUCAAUCAGAGCAGAAGUGAAUUUUGUAAGUGCAGAAGAAGCAAAAGAACUUGUUGCAGUUGAGGGAUAUACAGUCAUUGAUGUCCGGGACAAAUCUCAGUAUGAACGAGCUCAUAUCAAAUCUUGCCAUCAUGUGCCCCUCUUCAUUGAAAACCAAGACAAUGAUUUUGGUAAGCAUUUCUUUCUUGGACAACUCAUUUGUCACAAAUGUGGCGUCAUUUUUAUAUAAUAAUAAUAACCAGAACCGUUCGUUCUUUUUGUCAUCAUCUAAAGAUCAUCUUCAAAUUUUGUAUCUUUUGUAUUAAAUUUGAGCAUUUUAUGAUUUUCAUAACCGAAAUGGAAUUUGAUUUUGUUAAUGAUGAAUUAUGGGCAGGAACAAUCAUAAAGAGGACUCUCCACAACAAUUUUUCUGGUCUCUUCUAUGGAUUGCCUUUUACUAAACCUAACCCUGAAUUUGUAGAGUCAGUUAAAACCAAGUUCUCACCCGAAAGUAAAUUGUUACUGGUGUGUCAGGAAGGGCUGAGGUAAGUUUUUUCAUAUGUUAGCUGCUAUGUUUUUCACCUAGCAACCGUUUGACAAGAUCCUUUUGUUUCCUUUUAAUUUGAAGGUCUGCUGCUGCUGCCAAUAAGUUGGAGCAAGUAGGUUUUGAGAACAUAGCGUGUAUAACAUCAGGUCUUCAAAGCGUAAAACCCGGUUAGGAUUCGAGCUAGCUCCAAUGUCUUUUCGUUCUCUGGAUUAUGAUCUGUUAAAAAGAUUAUUUGGAUCUAAUGCGACCGUUUGCUACACCAGGAGAAUUUGAUUCAGCUGGUUCGACGGAGUUGCAAGAUGCCGGCAAAGCCGGAUUAGUCACUGUUCAGGGAAAGAUCUCAGCUGUGCUUGGAACAGUACUAAUCUGUAAGUCCUUAUGAAUUUGACCUUAAAAGCACUUUUGUUCUGUUGGUCCAUGAGGUGAUAUUUUGAUCUCUGUUCUGAUCAAAUGGCAGGUGCAUAUUUGUUCAUCACCUUCUUUCCCGAUCAAGCAGAGAAGAUACUCGCAAUUUUCGCGGCCAGCUAGCCCGAAUGCGGUGCAUACAUUUAUGAGGAAGUUUUGCAGAUCCCUCCAACCCCAUCAAGAGAUUUGAGUAGGGAGAGAUUUUUGAGGCAUGUGCUGCUCUGCAACAAGCUGUAUAAGGUUCAGAUCAUGAUAAAUUGUCAUACAUAUUCAUCAUUCAACAGGUUUUUGCUGCCUUAUUCAGGUUCCAAACCAGUAAGAUCAUGACGAUAAUCUACACCAAUACACGAUGACGUUCCAACUAUAAAUAAAAUUCAUAUGACGAGCCAUAUCACUAUAGAAUUACAAGCUAUAAACCAAAACCUCGCGAAAGGGAAAGAAACUCGAAGGUUAGAGUCGAGAUCCAAUAUUCUAGACCCACGAAAGAGGAAAAAGGAAAAUUCACAAGGCUGUGAACCUAGGUUGACAAAAUAUUACAGUAAGAUUUUGUUUUCUUUACCCAAAAAAUAUUACAAUGAGAUUAGCAAAUGUAUUCUGAUUCCAUCCUGUGCACCGUGUAUCAAUGCAUAAAUUAUGCAGGGUACCAUACCAUUCCACAGUACUUAGGGUUGAUCCGCAGCUGCCAACGGCACGAUGAGCAUGAUAGGAUUGAAGGAUAAAACAGCCAGCUUCUUUCUGCACCGCUCUUGUUCUACGGCAUUAUGAUGCACAAAAUCAUUCUCCUUGUAGGCAAUAGAGCUGACGGAUGUUUCCAGAAGCUGUCAAAUGGGUUAACUAGAUCAGCUUUUAAACAACAUCCUACUUAUCUACAAUAAAAGCUCAUGAAAUUACAUAUAAUGGUAUGUAUUUGGCACAAUUUCAACUCAAUAAUAUGCAUUAUGGUUCAAAUAAAGCCACAUAAAAGAGGGUAUUAAAAAAUAGUAUACUAUUCAGAACGUUAAACAGCAGUAUAUGUCGCUUGAAAAUGCAGUUUCAAAAUACAGGAUAUGCCAACUAACUUUGUUGUGCAAAGUGCUGAUGAUGUUCCAAGAAAUACAAUGUUCUAGCACGUGUGUGUCAACGUGUGGAAACUAUUGUAAUAAUGAACAUUACCAUAUAACCAGUCUUUAAAAUAUACGUGGAGAGCAGUUGAUAAUUCCCGCUUUCUAUUUUCUUCAAGAGGUGCUUCCCUCAAUAAUUGCUUUACCUCCCCAAGAUUGUUCUGCAGGAGAAAAGGUUAAACAUAAUUAAAACAUAAAUAACAUUGACCACCUCAAUCAAACAUCAAGGAAUUCUUAGUAAAACAGUAAGAAAAUAUCUAAUGACUAAACCCAAAUAUAAAAAUAAAAAUCUACACUAGUGUUAAGCCGGAGUAAGCAUACGUUUCUCUGCUGGGAAACCAUGUAAGCAUCUGGUAAUGGAAAUGGGUUGUCUUUUGUGGAGCCCUGCGAUUCACCUCCAUACCAGUUUGGAAUCUGAAUAUAAAAGAGACAUAUAGGAUGUAACUAGAUAAUUCAGAAAGAAAAUGAGUAAUUGUACAACCAUUGCCAUCUCAACCACCCUAAGCCAACCAAAUGAAGAAACAUACUCAUAAAUACAAUUGUAAUGCCCCUAAUGUGCGUGACUUUGUCCGAAGACUCUGUUGGUAGAGCUUUUCUCUAUUUAAUUUCCAAUGAAAAACUAUUAUUUCAGAAAACUAAGGAAACCCCUUUAAUACAGUAUAAAAUCUAAAUUAAAAGCUUGUAAAGAUUAUAAUACCAAGAAAUUUGUGAACUGGUCGGCGUCUAAGUGUGCAGCAGACUCAGCCUGAGCCUCAGAGACACCUGCUGGAUGAGAUAAUGAAUCAUGUGGGUCAACCACUCCAAGUGGCAGGGGCUCAUCCCAUCUGUUGAUAGUAGCAUCAACCCCAACUUCCUUCAUGUGCUCCUCCAACUGACUGUAAAAUGUAUUGUAUGGUGCCACCUGAUAAAAGCCGAGGUGAAAACAAAGAUCAGAGCAUGUUAAAUCUUCAUUAGAACUUGAAAACUAAAACACACAAAACUAUGAUCAUAACAAUAUAUAAUACUUAUUAUGAUCGAAGAAAUCAAUGCUACAUUUCAGUAAAAAAAAUUCAAUUUUGUCUACUCUUAUAGUCAUAUUGUAUUCGAUUUGACGCCAAAGGUUCAACAUAACAAAAGCAUGCAUGCAAACCACUAUUCAAAAAUAAAAAAUAGCAACUACAUGCGUCAAGGCUGUCAGCAAAGAUCAUUUUAAAAGGAUGUGCGCCUGUGUGUAGCAAGGGCAUCUUGACUAUAACUUGGUAAGUUCCACAUUUUUUUUUUCCAACUGAACAAAUUGAAGAGUACAGGAAACCCUAGAUGCUUGAAUGUUAGACAGAUCAAGAGCUACAAUAUCUGGGGACAUGCUAUCAAAUGUAGAAUGGAAAGAAAGUUCCCUUCUCUUGAUAUGAAUCACAAUAGAACCAGAAGAGUGGCCAAUAACAUGUCAAUGAAACAUAUUGUUAAAGUUGGAUGCAUAUAUGACAUUACCGAAAAAAGUCAUGGAGAUUUACAAAAAACCAAACAGGUUAAACCAAUAUACGAGCAAACCCACAUUAAGAUUAGUUGUAACAAAACGAAUCCACAUUAAUAUAAGUUGCAGAAAAAACAGAAAUUGGGGGAACUCAAUCAAAUGUAGAUUAAAAAAGGUCGUACCCAGUGCACAAGGCUCCCGCUUUACGCAGGGUAGUGUGAAAAUUAAACUGCAUGAGUACUGGCUAGAAACACAAUUGUGCAAUCAAUUAGGGCAAGAUUCACCUGCAGCUUAUGGUUAUCACCAACAAUAAGUGGUCGCUGGUUGACACCAAGGAAAAACAUGCAUUCGCGGCAGUUAGCAAUGCAGAUUCGAUUUGCUGCUGUAAUCACAUGAACUCGCUCACAGUGUUCGAUUCUAACAGCCUGUAAGAGACAUUAGACAUCUAAGCUAUAAGAUUCAAGUUAACCAGGUGACACAACUACCGAUGUUCAUUGCAUACAAAACAGUAAUUAGUUGGCCACUUCACAUGACAAUAUACAGACAUUGGACUAAUUCAAAUGUUCACUAAAGGGCAAAACAUCAGGCCUAAUUAGACGUAACAAAAGUUAUUACAUUUGAUUAACCAAACCAUUAUGUAAAAUCUGUAACUUAAAAAACAAGUUGUGCAAGAACUUUGAUAAAGCUUUGCAUAACCACCACAUAAGAAGCAUAUAGGUAAUUCACAGGAACACCAGUCAACUCAUCAUUUCACAAACAAAGAUCAAGAGUAAUUAUCUGUAGUUGUUAGAGAGUGAUUCAACCCAUUAUACAUUCUACCAGACAAACAAAAUUCAAAAGCCUUCUUUUUCAUUGUGUUAUAAACUUGCAUGAUCAUUUCAUUGACUUUCAGAAGUCAACUGCAAACUUUGUAUUUGUGAUAGGAAAGGGUAAAAAUGAGUGCCAAAAGAAAGUGACUUGGCAGGCAUAAGCUUAGUGGGAAUGAAAUGCAACAUGACUACUUGCAAAGUCGAACUGAAGUUAUCAGUUAGUAGCAUUACCGCAAUACAUCAAGUAACCAAAUUCUACCAUCUUAUCUGAUACCAAAUUUUUAAAGAUGAAGGAUAAACAAAUCCACAGAUCUUUACAGACCACAAGUCAAUCAUUCUGAUAUGUUUAAAUUUACUAGAGAUAGAAAAGUAUUUCCAAUUCUACUAUCAACAUCAGUACCACAGGUAUAACCUUUUCAGUAUCCAACUAUAUAUUAGGGAAUAAUUACAGAUAUCACAGCAACAGUCAAUAUCCAAAGCAUAAAUACAAAUGUCUUUCCUAUUACCUUUCCAACAGCUCCAAGAACAAUUGUAGCAUCAGAGCAUCCAUAAACUGUGGCAUAUCUCAGAGGUGCUAAUAUGUAGAUAACUGAAUCGUGGCAAUUUAAAACCUGAAAUUGCAAACAAGUUACUACCAAGCCAAUAUACCUCUUAGAAGAAACACUCCUAUUUUAGUUCACCGCUUUUAUGCACAAAGCAUGUAAAGGAACAUGUUGAGAAAAGAUAACAAUAAAGCUGACAACUUGACAAAUUGAUUAACCAAGUGCAUUAUUAAGUUCAAUGAUCUUUAUAAUUAAGAUUAGGAUUAAACUGAAUGAGCAGCUACCUCCCUUCCUUAAAUGCAUAAUGGCAGGACUCAGCAAACUCCAAACUUAAAAUAAAUACAUAAAUAAAUAAAAGUGAAAAAUGCAUCGAUGGAACAGUUAGCCAAUUUGGAAACCAAAAUAUAGCAUAGCAAAACCUUCAAUCGAUCACACAUAUAACACAACAGGUGCAUUCCCACAGCCCCAAGAGUGAAUCCCCAAUGUGGCAUGCAAUAAGUUAUUAGAAGCUCAAAGACAUAAUGACUUGAUUCUUGUGUCUUAUUAAUAAUUGGGUUCUCCUCAUUUCCUUCUUUCUGGUUCUAGCUCCUGAACUUCUAGAAGCGUUAAAAUAUGAAACAUCCCGUAAAUGUAGAACAGACAUCAGAGGAAAAAAGAAUAGAUUUUACAUUUUUAUAAACUACUUACAAGAAACCAUAAAAAUAUGUCUUAUCAUUCAUGAACCAACCUUUACAGAAGAACCUUUAAGAUCAGAUGUUCGCUUUACAAGUGAUGACUUGGAGAUCCCCUCAAUAAAACUUGGGCCUCUGACACUUGAUGAGCCCUUGUUUGAACUCGUGCAGGCAUCAGCCAUAGGAACAUCUUGGUCUGAGGAACUGGGUGGCCCGUUUUCUUUUGGAGAAAUCCUUUCCGAAAUAUGUUCCAAAGAUGAGACCAUAUUCUCUAGAACCCAAUCGUGAACUUGCGCUGCAGGAACAGGAACAGCAGGCAUAUCAGGAUCUGAAUUUGCAAAAAAAGGAGCGUGUUGGCUGAAUUGAUUUCCUUCAGAUCCUUUGUCACCAAAGUGAAGCAGAAACCCAAGGUGCUCAAAUUUCUCCAUGGUCAAAACCUAUAAAGGGUUAAAUCAGAUCAUUAAGUGGGCUUGGGAGAUACCAACAAAAAAGAUACAACUACAAACUCCAUAACAUAAAAUAAAAAUAAGAAAUCAGCACCGGUUGUCCAUGAUAAAAAUACAAGGAGACAUUAGUUAUUGUGGCCAACUUAUUGUCAUCCAGAUUAACUGUUCUGCCAGUACCUUCUUUAUCAACUGCAAUGGCCACCAAAAGAAGAGGAAAUGUCUAUCCUUCCUUUUGCGACUUUAAGACGCAGCAACAUGCUAACCAUGUGUUGGAUUUACUGAACUGCAUUUCCAUUCCAUUAAAUCUGUCCUACUUUACGUCUUUUUAGAUUAAUAAUAAUCAAACUUCAGUAUGUUUCAUGCAAUUGGAAUGUAGAAUGUAUGGUUCAUGGUUCACACUUCAAACAUCCCAUAAAGAAAUCACUUCCCACAAAUACAAAUGUUCAUAAGUGAUGAUAAUUGGUGUUGCACUUAUGACCGAACCAAAGCAUGAAUUAAGGAUUUGGGUGGUGCUCACAGUACGAAUGGUGUUUUUCAAUCAAAUUGGAGAAAAGUACCAGCAACUAUUAUCUUUAAUACAAUUUACUUUUUGGUAGCCAAAAAGGUGAAUAAUUGACUCAACCAACAAAGAUUUAAUAAUUUCACAUACCAGAGAUUCUUCUCCUUCCCCCUCCACAGAUUCUGCUAAUAAAGAGACAAGGUUGGCCAAAUGCUUUUUCAAAUAUGAUAACUGAUGUGCCUCUUCAUCAGCCUGUGAUGGCAUAAACCGACGGCUAUUGCUACGCACAAGCUGUCAUGUGUUGGAAUUCCAAGGUUGAUAUAAGUUUAAUCCAACAAAAUAAAUGUCUCAAAUCAAAGUUCCGAGCAAUUAAAUAUAAAAAAACGAAAAGUUUCAGGACACAAAUGUUGCAAGUUAAAUAGUAUUGCCCAAAUUCUGAUACUGAAAAAUGUUGUACUAUGUACUACAAAAAUUCAUCCAAGUGUAAUCAACUCAACAAAACCCUUGCUCUAAAAGUUUAUAAUCAACCUCGUGAUUACCAUUUCGCAACACAAAGAGUACAUAAAGCUAAUUAAACCGGGGUGGACACAAUGUAGCACUGUCAUUCCAAAUGAAUCUAAACAUACACAUCCUGGAAGAUAAAACUAGGUGGUCCGCUCACUACAAGCCAAGAUUAGGUACUUGAGCAUUUUACGUUUAGUGCAAUUCAAUCCAACAAUGUAGCAGACAAUGCAACGAAUUGUUACAACCCCCACCCCAAGCACGCAAUUGAUCAAAACUCCAACCAAAACACAAUGAGAAGUAAGAUUAGUCAAAUACUAACCACAAUAAGUUCAAUAAUGGAUAGAUCAAAUGGAAAUAUAUUCCAUUUCAAUCCACAUUGUAUUCCAAUACUAACGAACACACACAAAGUCAAACAAUUGACCUGAAUAAUCCCAUUUUCUACAUUGCAGCAAUCUCAUGUCAAGAAAACCAGCGUCUUGAAUAAAAUUGCCAACCUUUUCAACUUAAUUAACCGAAAUCUAACCAAAACCAACCGGCAACCAAAUUAAUUAAUCGCGGCAAACUCCAUUUCUAAUCCACACGCAUUGCACAAUGCACCACCAAUUAACUAAAGAAAGAAAACAAAGAUCAAUUAAGGGACAGCUUCUCACCUGCAAUGGCGACAAAGCGGACAGAUACCCAUCGAAAGCCGACGUCGAAGGCCAGACAUCGGCGACGGCAGCCGAGUCCUUGUGCGUCCGCGGCAGCAACUUCUUAUACGACUGAAUGUAGAGGAACAGAACCAGAUCAUGCACAUCGGCUCCAGCCUCGUCAAUCCCAUCUGGCUUGGCUUUCACGAGCGGGUCGGACUCCGAGUGCAGAACCGACGCUAGGGUAUCGAGGACGAGCUUCGCCUGAUCAAUGGAGAUCUGGAGAGCCUCGGAGAUCGCGGCCGAGUCGACCCGGUGACUGGGCGACUUCUCGAUCAGCUUCUGCUUCAGCGGAAUCAGGGUUUGGGUCGGGUCGGUGAAGAUUAGCUUGGGGAUGGGCAGCAGCCCGUGCUCGAACGGCUCGCGGCGCGGGUGAAUCAGGAGGGCCGGGUCCUUGGCCGAAGACGACGUCGUUGCGGGCUCAAUUGGGUCGCUCAUGGCUUCUUUUCUCAGGAGGCAGCAAAACGCAGAGUUUUUGUGUAGACAGAGAGAUUUGUGAGUUGCAGAUCUUCCAGAAAUGAAUAACGAGAGAGAGGUUGAGGAGAGAGUGAGGGAAUGAUCCGGUGCGAUUCGGUGCACGGAAGGUGAACCGCGUGGAUGUGUUAAUUGGGAGUUGGGUUGCAAUCAUCAGUACGUAUUUUUCAAAAACAAAAAAAAUCAGCUGCUAGUUUUGUCGCGGCAGUUCAUUCUAUCAGGUUGAAAAAAUUCAUAUAGGUAUUUUAGCCUUCUUUUGAUUAAUAAUGUGUGAUUUAUCAGUACUAAAAAAUCAAACUCAAAAUAUACCGUGUAAAUACAUCUUGAAAUUCAUACUUAACUACUGAAUCACCCUCUGACUAUCAUCAUUACGUUGAAUUGUGGCUAAUUCCAAGAGGUUAGUGGAGAAGAAGUGGAUUAAAGAGGGGGCCGUGGCCCGUAAUGCAUCGGACAUGUGUAUGACCAUUUUAAAUGACAUCAACUAAAUUAUCGACAGCUAUGAUUUUCUUUAAUCUUUUGACCAUAAAGUUGCAAGGAUUUCAAACGUCUUAAUGUAUUAAAAAUGUCCCUCUCUAAUUUCGUUAAAUCUAAAAUUGCCCUCUUAGACCAUCUCCAACCCUGGGUUAAAAGCCAAAUUACCCCCCAAAUUACUCUCCCAAACACUCUCCAACCCAUGCUAAAAUUUUAGGCUAAAUGCCAAAUGCUAUUUCUGGGCCAAAUACCCCUCAACUUUCCCCCCGGGCUAAAUGCGAAAUGUUUAUCGGAAUUUAAAUUUUUUUAGAUCAAAAUGUUCAUAAAAUUAAUUUACAAUAAUCUACAUAUUUAUUUUUUUUUUUUAAAUUGAUUUAAGAAAAAAAUUUAGGCUAAUUUCAUUAUUUAAUAAUUCCGGGCUAAAAUUUUAAGGUAGAAGGGUUGGAGCAGAAAAGAUGUUUCUGGGCUAAAAGCUAAAUUUUCCGGGCUAAAAAAUUUGGCUUUUAGCCCAAGGGUUGGAGAUGGUCUUAAUGAAACCAGAAAAAACAUUAAAAUUACGAAGGUGAAGUGUUGAUUUAGUUUUUGAAUUAUCAUCUCAGUGAAAAUUAAGUUCCUGAAUUAUUUUUUCGGUAAAAUAAGUCCCUAAAUUCAUUAAAAAUUACUAAUUUCAUCCCUACAAUUAUAUUCAAAGCUAUUUUAUCUAGUUUUUCUUCAACUUAAGUCACUAGACAUACUUUAGAACGUAAUACCAUAAUUUUCUCUCCUAUAAGACCUUAACAUUACA
This 15078-nucleotide long non-coding RNA is filed under the name Malus domestica (apple). RNAcentral describes it as "long non-coding RNA (MDOM_LNC013731)". The record is from RNAcentral. Lineage: Eukaryota; Viridiplantae; Streptophyta; Magnoliopsida; Rosales; Rosaceae.